RNAcentral lists this ribosomal RNA (658 nucleotides) under uncultured cyanobacterium. Its description in RNAcentral is "bacterial SSU rRNA". It matches the Rfam family "Bacterial small subunit ribosomal RNA", at positions 72 to 771 of the family's 1533-position model. Lineage: Bacteria; Bacillati; Cyanobacteriota. The record is from RNAcentral.
AGUAGCAAUACUUGAGUGGCGGACGGGUGAGUAACGCGUGAGAAUCUGCCUUUUGGUCGGGGACAACCACUGGAAACGGUGGCUAAUACCGGAUAUGCCUAACGGUGAAAGAUUAAUUGCCAGAAGAGGAGCUCGCGUCUGAUUAGCUAGUUGGUGAGGUAAAGGCUCACCAAGGCAUCGAUCAGUAGCUGGUCUGAGAGGAUGACCAGCCACACUGGGACUGAGACACGGCCCAGACUCCUACGGGAGGCAGCAGUGGGGAAUUUUCCGCAAUGGGCGAAAGCCUGACGGAGCAAGACCGCGUGAGGGAGGAAGGCUCUUGGGUUGUAAACCUCUUUUGUCAGGGAAGAACACAAUGACGGUACCUGAAGAAUCAGCAUCGGCUAACUCCGUGCCAGCAGCCGCGGUAAUACGGGGGAUGCAAGCGUUAUCCGGAAUUAUUGGGCGUAAAGCGUCCGCAGGUGGCUAAUCAAGUCUGCUGUCAAAGGUUAGGGCUUAACCCCAAAAAGGCAGUGGAAACUGAGAAGCUAGAGUGCAGUAGGGGUAGAGGGAAUUCCCGGUGUAGCGGUGAAAUGCGUAGAGAUCGGGAAGAACAUCGGUGGCGAAAGCGCUCUACUGGACUGCAACUGACACUCAGGGACGAAAGCUAGGGGAGCGA